RNAcentral lists this ribosomal RNA (1851 nucleotides) under Cyanobacteria bacterium BOR-4c. RNAcentral's name for it is "bacterial SSU rRNA". The stretch from base 1 to 1373 matches the Rfam family "Bacterial small subunit ribosomal RNA". The record is from RNAcentral. Lineage: Bacteria; Bacillati; Cyanobacteriota.
CUGCCUCUAGGUCGGGGACAACAAUUGGAAACGAUUGCUAAUACCCGAUGUGCAGCAAUGUGAAAGAUUUAUUGCCUAGAGAUGAGCUCGCGUCUGAUUAGCUAGUAGGUGUGGUAAUGGCGCACCUAGGCGACGAUCAGUAACUGGUCUGAGAGGAUGACCAGUCACACUGGGACUGAGACACGGCCCAGACUCCUACGGGAGGCAGCAGUGGGGAAUUUUCCGCAAUGGGCGAAAGCCUGACGGAGCAAUACCGCGUGAGGGACGAAGGCUUUUGGGUCGUAAACCUCUUUUCCCUGAGAAGAAGAUCUGACGGUAUCAGGGGAAUCAGCAUCGGCUAACUUCGUGCCAGCAGCCGCGGUAAUACGAGGGAUGCAAGCGUUAUCCGGAAUUAUUGGGCGUAAAGCGUCCGCAGGUGGCUCUGUAAGUCUGUCGUUAAAGAAUGGGGCUCAACCCCAUACAGGCGAUGGAAACUACAAGGCUAGAGUUUGGUAGGGGUCACGGGAAUUCCUAGUGUAGCGGUGAAAUGCGUAGAUAUUAGGAAGAACACCAGCGGCGAAAGCGCGUGACUGGGCCAGUACUGACACUCAUGGACGAAAGCUAGGGGAGCGAAAGGGAUUAGAUACCCCUGUAGUCCUAGCCGUAAACGAUGAUAACUAGGUGUUGCCCGUAUCGACCCGGGCAGUGCCGUAGCCAACGCGUUAAGUUAUCCGCCUGGGGAGUACGCACGCAAGUGUGAAACUCAAAGGAAUUGACGGGGGCCCGCACAAGCGGUGGAGUAUGUGGUUUAAUUCGAUGCAACGCGAAGAACCUUACCAAGGCUUGACAUGUCGCGAAUUCCCUUGAAAGGGGGAAGUGCCUUCGGGAGCGCGAACACAGGUGGUGCAUGGCUGUCGUCAGCUCGUGUCGUGAGAUGUUGGGUUAAGUCCCGCAACGAGCGCAACCCACGUUUUUAGUUGCCAUCAUUUAGUUGGGCACUCUAGAGAGACUGCCGGUGACAAACCGGAGGAAGGUGUGGAUGACGUCAAGUCAGCAUGCCCCUUACGCCUUGGGCUACACACGUACUACAAUGCUACGGACAAAGGGCUGCCAACUCGCGAGAGUGCGCUAAUCCCAUAAACCGUAGCUCAGUUCAGAUUGCAGGCUGCAACUCGCCUGCAUGAAGGCGGAAUCGCUAGUAAUCGCAGGUCAGCAUACUGCGGUGAAUACGUUCCCGGGCCUUGUACACACCGCCCGUCACACCAUGGAAGUUGGCCACGCCCGAAGUCGUUACCCUAACCGUAAGGAGGGGGGCGCCUAAGGCAGGGCUGAUGACUGGGGUGAAGUCGUAACAAGGUAGCCGUACCGGAAGGUGUGGCUGGAUCACCUCCUUUUAGGGAGACCUUACCCUUCUAACUCUGAAUUGAGUAAGAGUAGAUAGAGGUUAUCUCAAGGUCGGUCGAGGUUAUAUGUGUUAGCUUCCAAAUUUUGCUCUGGUUUUAAUUAAUCAGUACGGGCUAUUAGCUCAGAUGGUUAGAGCGCACCCCUGAUAAGGGUGAGGUCCCUGGUUCGAGUCCAGGAUGGCCCACCUUUGCUAUCGCUAGGGGGUUUAGCUCAGUUGGUAGAGCGCCUGCUUUGCAAGCAGGAUGUCAGCGGUUCGAGUCCGCUAACCUCCACUGAUAAAUUUCAGCAACUCAUGAUGUCUAAUAGAGACUUCAUAGCCUGCUGGAUAUUUUAUCCAGUCAGAACCUAGAAAACUGCAUAAAGAUUAGUCAGGUAAGUAGUAACCACUGAAGAUUGAGAAAUCAAUUCUUGUAGUGGCUUUACAGACAAUACCAAACAAAAAUACUUAGAAAUAAGUGGUCAAGCUAC